GCUGGGCACAGUGGGGCAUGCCUGUAGUGCCAGCUACUCGGGAGGCUGAGGUGGGAGGAUCGACUGAACCCAGGAGUUCUGGGCUGUAGUGCGCUAUGCCAAUCUGGUGUCUGCACUAAGUUCAGCAUCAAUAUGGUGACCUCCCAGGAAGGGGACCACCAGGUUUCCUAAAGGAGGUGUGAGCUGGCCCAGGUUGGAAACGGAGCAGGUCAAAACUCCGGUGCUGAUCAGUAGUGGGAUGGCACCUGUGAAUAGCCACUGCACUCCAGCCUGGGCAACAUAGCUGGUCUCUU
Unclassified non-coding RNA from Callithrix jacchus (white-tufted-ear marmoset), 293 nucleotides. It matches the Rfam family "Metazoan signal recognition particle RNA". From Rfam's summary of the family: The signal recognition particle (SRP) is a universally conserved ribonucleoprotein. The record is from Ensembl. Lineage: Eukaryota; Metazoa; Chordata; Mammalia; Primates; Cebidae.